ACUCAACUUGAGCUCGGCAGUAAAAGCAGAGAGGCAAAGAAAACACUUGUGCCCUGGGCCUGCCCUCUCCGGGUGUGGCAGCCUAGGGGGAGAAGUAUCAGCCCACCUGAGUCUGGGUUUGUGCAGAAACUUCCCUGGCGGAAAAGGCGUCGUAAAAGGGGUUUAAGAAAUCCCACUGGAUGCUUUCCCAGAGCCUUGGUGUUACGGCGCUCAGCUCCAAUGCACAGACUGCGCUACGAAGGCGCCCUGCGCAGGGAUUGGCUGCAGCACCCAGUUGCAAGGAGUCUGAGAUACCUACGGAUUCUCCAAACAGGAUACCUAUAGACAGCUGAAAAUACAAGACUGGUUUUACACAGCAAUGUCAGAGCUGAAGAGACAGGUGAUAAUCACAGGCAUGAAUGUAUUGAAGUUACUGAGGGACUACAAAGUGAACAUAACUGGGAACAGCACCAUCAAAACGAUCAGCAUUUAAAGAGCAGGGAGUGGGAAGAGCCAAUGAUUGAAGCUGAGACUAAACUAACUGAAGAGAAAAUCAAGGCACAAUUCUUGCUAUAAUAUCCGAAGAGGGAACUUGCGGCAGACGGACUGGAGGGUGGGAUUUGCAUUCCUGUUUGGAGUCAGGAUUUCCAUGGUCUACACCUCAUGUGUUGCAUGUAGACGUUCAAGGUAUUUUUAUUGUGAUAUGUCAGCACACAGAAUUGGAAGGCAUGUCACAAGGUCAGGAGUUCGAGUUCUGUUGAUAGUCUCAGACCUCUUCCAACUUCAACAAGGUCAACAAGAUAAACCACAAACCUGGAUGAGUUCAUGUUAUUCCAGAUGCAUUAUCUCCUAAUCUUCAGGAAGAGGCUCCUUCAGCGGGAAGGAGCAUGGCAGGAUCUUCCCUGAAAAAACAGAAAUAGCCGUGUCUAAUCCCUGCUCUGCCUGGAAAGGAAAAGGCUCACCUACUUCCCAUGUCAAGGCAAGAAUCAGAAUUCCUCUCAAAUUCUUAAAACAUUGCAAAGUAAAGACAGAUACUAACUCUAAAUAUGAUUCAUGCUCAAGUUAUUAAAAAUGGAAUACAUUGUACCAGAAGGAAAAUGGUAAACAAUUUUAAAUUCCAAAGGCAAGGGAAUGUUUUUGGUUUAAUAACCAGAGUAUGGCUUCAACAGGAGCUUAUGUAGUAUACACACCAUAAUUAAAUCUAAUUCAAUCACCUGAGUAAUCAAGUGGUUAAGCGAAUAAACUAAGUAAUCAAUCGUAAAAGUGAUUUGCUGUUUAGAAGAAAGAAGUUGUAAUAUGUGUGCCAAUAUUUUUAAAGAAUAAGGAAUCUCAGGUCUUCAACUCUGUCAACAAUUAUUAGCAUUGUUUUGUUUCAGUCUUCUUAUUUACAGAGUAAAAAGACCAUUCAUUCAUUCAACAAGUAUUUAUGGAAAGCAGCAUUUUCUGAACAUGAUUCCUGCACUCAAGGUGUUUUACAAUCAUGUGGCCUGCCACUUUAUUGAAGAUGUUUUAGGGAAAACAAUUAACUUUUGACAAAGUUCAGAAUUAUUCAAACAUAACAUAAAUGGCCAAUGAAUCUUUUCAGAGAAAGCAUAGUCUAGUGGAUAAAUAUUUACACUAGUCUGCCCCUGAGUCUUACAAUUUUUCUAUGUCCAUUUUUCCUCACUCUGUAAUGGUGGGCAGACAGAAGGUGGGGCUAGCUGACCUUCAAAUUCCCUUCCAAUUUUUAUGAAAUACAAUUUUUAGUAUUAAGUGAGUAAUCACAUUGUGCAAGGUGCUUACCUGGAUAUAGCUCAGUUCUUUUUCUGAUUGCAAGAACAGAGCAAGAUGGAACCAUGAACUGCUAAACGACCCAUGGCAAUUUUUAAAGGAUUCCUCAAGCAGAUGGUUCUCUGGUAGUUCUUACAGCAGGAAAAGCCCCCUACAGUUCACAAAAGAGUCAAGUUGCAUUCUUCCAAACUGUCCUGAUUUUGCCGAUUUGCACAAUCUAAUAAAAUCUUUCCAUCAUAUUUCUCUUUUCCAUUUGUGGACCACUACUCAGUGAGUACAUUUAUUAUGUGUGGCUAAUAAUUUACUUUUUUGUUCUUUUUUGUUGUAAAAGCGUCAUAUUAACUACCUUUUGAGCGCAUGAAAAUGCAUAUUCGAAACAUUGCUGAGUUCAGAUUGAUUGAAUUUGACUGUGACCUUAGUGAGCCAUUCAUUUAUUCAACAAGGUUUGAUUGAACAUUUACCAUCCUAUCACUUCAGCCCACACAUUGGACAACCAAUCAGAGUUAUCACACUUCUUAGGGCAUAAAACAGAUACAUAUUCAUUAAGUUACAUAUUCCCAGUCCAAAUUAGCUUGACCCAAUUCAAGUCUUCCUUCAGAUUUUUAGAGUUCUUGCCAAAUCGUUUUCCUAUUCCCAUUUUCUCUUCACUUCCCAUUGCCCUCUUGUCCUCAAUUUCUUUUGUGUUCAUUCUCUCUCUUCUUCUUGUUUUCAGUUUCUGUCUUCUCUUUCACAAAGUUUUCUCACUUAGCUAUAAUGUAUGUUUAAUAAUACACUAUUUCAUUAUUGUGUUACUCAAAAUCCUCAAGCCACUUUAUCUCAAGAUGCAAAUACCUAGACCUCAGGUUCAAAGCUAAUAAUCUAA
Molecule: long non-coding RNA, 2611 nt
Filed under: Homo sapiens (human)
Lineage: Eukaryota; Metazoa; Chordata; Mammalia; Primates; Hominidae
Description: HSALNT0225283
Source: RNAcentral